UGGGGAAUAUUGGACAAUGGGCGCAAGCCUGAUCCAGCAAUGCCGCGUGAGUGAUGAAGGCCUUAGGGUUGUAAAGCUCUUUUACCAGGGAUGAUAAUGACAGUACCUGGAGAAUAAGCUCCGGCUAACUCCGUGCCAGCAGCCGCGGUAAUACGGAGGGAGCUAGCGUUGUUCGGAAUUACUGGGCGUAAAGCGCGCGUAGGCGGCAUGCCAAGUCAGGGGUGAAAUCCCGGGGCUCAACCCCGGAACUGCCCUUGAAACUGGCAAGCUAGAAUAUCGGAGAGGUAAGUGGAAUUCCGAGUGUAGAGGUGAAAUUCGUAGAUAUUCGGAAGAACACCAGUGGCGAAGGCGACUUACUGGACGAUUAUUGACGCUGAGGUGCGAAAGCGUGGGGAGCAAACAGGAUUAGAUACCCGUGUAGUCC
This 424-nucleotide ribosomal RNA is filed under the name uncultured prokaryote. Its description in RNAcentral is "bacterial SSU rRNA". It matches the Rfam family "Bacterial small subunit ribosomal RNA", at positions 355 to 796 of the family's 1533-position model. The record is from RNAcentral.